RNAcentral lists this long non-coding RNA (1193 nucleotides) under Lactuca sativa (garden lettuce). RNAcentral describes it as "long non-coding RNA (LSAT_LNC007630)". Lineage: Eukaryota; Viridiplantae; Streptophyta; Magnoliopsida; Asterales; Asteraceae. The record is from RNAcentral.
UUUUAUCACCACAAGCAAUAAUAAAAGUCAUAAAUAAUCAUAUUAUCAAACGAUGUGACUGCCAAGCUGGUGAUGGAGAAAAUUAUACGUCAUUCAAUGGAAUUUUUAUAGCCGGGUCAUGAUUUGGCCACCUAUCACAUCACAUUCACUUAUCAGUUUAUAACUUUAUAUGUAUCUUUGCAUUAUCUCUAAUACUACAAAUUAUUUAGGUCGACCAAAAUGUAUUCAUCCAAUGUCUGAAUUACAAAUAAAUAGCAAAACAUUUUGAUAAAAUUUCAUUUAAAAAGAUAAAAAUACAUAAUGAAGGUUUUAGUUGAUAGUUUUCAGAUUAAAGUAAAGCCAUCAAUUGAGGAACACAAAAUCACCAUUUAGGAUAUAGCGACUGUUUUGCUCUUAACAUGAACAGCAAAUUUUAUAAUAAAUAUAAUAAACAUAAACCCAAAAUCGCUUUCAAACUUGUUAAUUUAGAGUCUCCUUCAUGACAUCUUCAGAAACCCCCAUGUUGCAUCUUCAAUAGGUAAAACCAAUGCUAGCUUCAAUAAUCGAUAGACUAAUGGAAACACAAUAUGUCUCUUUGUUUCCACCAUCACUCUAGCAAGGUCAGAAAUACUUUCCAAGUUUAACCGGUGGUAUUUUCCUUUUCAGAGCUAUCUUCAUUUUUUUUUUCUAGCCAUAUAAUAUAAGAAUUAGCUAAUUCUACUUUUUUCAACAUUUUCAAGAAUUAGAUUAAGUCAAAUAAACAAUAAUUAGCUAUUAAAAACUACCAUUUAAUAAUUGAUUUAGAUAAGGGAAAUAAUUGAAGGACAACAAAAGCCAACCUAAGUUAACAAUCUACCAAGUUACAAAAUACAAACCCAAACAAUUAACGAUUUUAUUUUCAAUAAAACCAAACAAAUUUAACCACUACAAAAGGUAACAAUUAAACACAAACAAGGAAAGAAUUAAUUAAGAACAAAUAACAAGUAUCACGUAACAAAAGAUUUAGAAGAUAGUGAUACUUAAAUACCUUAAGAGAGGAUAAAGUGUGGACUUGUGUCGUGGUGGAGACUGUAGGUAGCACUGGUGUUAUUGGAACCGGAAUCGAAUGGUGCGGCGGACGGGAGGGCAGUGGCCACGCCGGACGGCCUGAUGUGCUGUUGUUCACUGACAUGAACUCGCGGUGGCAGUGAGAGUGAGAGUUGCUCUGGUUCGAA